This 343-nucleotide unclassified non-coding RNA is filed under the name soil metagenome. RNAcentral's name for it is "partial contains 5.8S ribosomal RNA, internal transcribed spacer 2, and large subunit ribosomal RNA". The stretch from base 1 to 120 matches the Rfam family "5.8S ribosomal RNA", at positions 35 to 154 of the family's 154-position model. The record is from RNAcentral.
GAUGAAGAACGCAGCGAAAUGCGAUAAGUAAUGUGAAUUGCAGAAUCCAGUGAAUCAUCGAAUCUUUGAACGCACAUUGCGCCCGCCAGCAUUCUGGCGGGCAUGCCUGUUCGAGCGUCAUUUCAACCCUCGACCUCCCUUUGGGGAAGUCGGCGUUGGGGACCGGCAGCACACCGCCGGCCCUGAAAUGGAGUGGCGGCCCGUCCGCGGCGACCUCUGCGUAGUAAACCAACUCGCACCGGAACCCCGACGUGGCCACGCCGUAAAACACCCAACUUCUGAACGUUGACCUCGAAUCAGGUAGGACUACCCACUGAACUUAAGCAUAUCAAUAAGCGGAGGA